RNAcentral lists this ribosomal RNA (692 nucleotides) under Staphylococcus aureus. Its description in RNAcentral is "bacterial SSU rRNA". It matches the Rfam family "Bacterial small subunit ribosomal RNA", at positions 853 to 1533 of the family's 1533-position model. Lineage: Bacteria; Bacillati; Bacillota; Bacilli; Caryophanales; Staphylococcaceae. The record is from RNAcentral.
UAACGCGUUAAGUAGACCGCCUGGGGAGUACGGCCGCAAGGUUAAAACUCAAAUGAAUUGACGGGGGCCCGCACAAGCGGUGGAGCAUGUGGUUUAAUUCGAUGCAACGCGAAGAACCUUACCUGGUCUUGACAUCCACAGAACUUUCCAGAGAUGGAUUGGUGCCUUCGGGAACUGUGAGACAGGUGCUGCAUGGCUGUCGUCAGCUCGUGUUGUGAAAUGUUGGGUUAAGUCCCGCAACGAGCGCAACCCUUAUCCUUUGUUGCCAGCGAUUAGGUCGGGAACUCAAAGGAGACUGCCAGUGAUAAACUGGAGGAAGGUGGGGAUGACGUCAAGUCAUCAUGGCCCUUACGACCAGGGCUACACACGUGCUACAAUGGCGCAUACAAAGAGAAGCGACCUCGCGAGAGCAAGCGGACCUCAUAAAGUGCGUCGUAGUCCGGAUUGGAGUCUGCAACUCGACUCCAUGAAGUCGGAAUCGCUAGUAAUCGUGGAUCAGAAUGCCACGGUGAAUACGUUCCCGGGCCUUGUACACACCGCCCGUCACACCAUGGGAGUGGGUUGCAAAAGAAGUAGGUAGCUUAACCUUCGGGAGGGCGCUUACCACUUUGUGAUUCAUGACUGGGGUGAAGUCGUAACAAGGUAACCGUAGGGGAACCUGCGGUUGGAUCACCUCCUUACCUUAAAGAAGC